GGUCAAGCUACAAAGGGCUCACGGUGGAUACCUUGGCACACAGAGGCGAUGAAGGACGUGGUUACCUGCGAUAAGUCUCGGGGAGCUGGAAGCACGCUUUGAUCCGGGAAUUUCCGAAUGGGGCAACCCCUAGUACGGCCAGCUGAAUCCAUA
RNAcentral lists this ribosomal RNA (153 nucleotides) under uncultured cyanobacterium. RNAcentral describes it as "partial 23S ribosomal RNA". It matches the Rfam family "Bacterial large subunit ribosomal RNA", at positions 1 to 168 of the family's 2925-position model. Lineage: Bacteria; Bacillati; Cyanobacteriota. The record is from RNAcentral.